ACUACGGGAGGCAGCAGUGAGGAAUAUUGGUCAAUGGGCGCGAGCCUGAACCAGCCAAGUAGCGUGAAGGAUGACUGCCCUACGGGUUGUAAACUUCUUUUAUAAAGGAAUAAAGUGAGGCACGUGUGCCUUUUUGUAUGGAAGUUAUGAAUAAGGAUCGGCUAACUCCGUGCCAGCAGGCGCGGUAAUACGGAGGAUCCGAGCGUUAUCCGGAUUUAUUGGGUUUAAAGGGAGCGUCGAUUGGUUGUUACGUCAGUUGUGACCGUUUGCGGCUCAACCGUAAAAUUGCCAUUGAUACUGGCAGUCUUGCGUACAGUUGUGGUUGGCGGAAUUCGUUGUGUAGCGG
RNAcentral lists this ribosomal RNA (346 nucleotides) under uncultured bacterium. Its description in RNAcentral is "partial 16S ribosomal RNA". It matches the Rfam family "Bacterial small subunit ribosomal RNA", at positions 338 to 681 of the family's 1533-position model. The record is from RNAcentral.